GCAAACUUGGUCAUUUAGAGGAAGUAAAAGUCGUAACAAGGUUUCCGUAGGUGAACCUGCGGAAGGAUCAUUAAAAAUUACUAGUUCGCUAGAACUUACACUACAAAGCUUGUUGCGGUUAAAUCAUAAGAACUUCUGCUUCAAGUUUUGUUUUGUCACUCUUUGUUGAAACCUCCACUUUUGCUUCAGCAGCACUCAACCUUUAAACCGUUGAGGUAAGGCUGCCAGAAGCCUUUAUGAAAACUAGUUGAUGAAAUGUCAUGCUGUCUGAUACUUUUUUAGUAUUUGAAAAAUCAAAUUACUUGUUAAAACUUUCAGCAACGGAUCUCUUGGUUCCCGCAUCGAUGAAGAACGCAGC
RNAcentral lists this unclassified non-coding RNA (358 nucleotides) under uncultured fungus. RNAcentral's name for it is "partial contains small subunit ribosomal RNA, internal transcribed spacer 1, and 5.8S ribosomal RNA". The stretch from base 1 to 73 matches the Rfam family "Eukaryotic small subunit ribosomal RNA", at positions 1759 to 1831 of the family's 1831-position model. Lineage: Eukaryota; Fungi. The record is from RNAcentral.